GAUGAACGCUGGCGGCGUGCCUAAUACAUGCAAGUCGAGCGAACAGACGAGGAGCUUGCUCCUCUGACGUUAGCGGCGGACGGGUGAGUAACACGUGGAUAACCUACCUAUAAGACUGGGAUAACUUCGGGAAGCCGGAGCUAAUACCGGAUAAUAUAUUGAACCGCAUGGUUCAAUAGUGAAAGACGGUUUUGCUGUCACUUAUAGAUGGAUCCGCGCCGCAUUAGCUAGUUGGUAAGGUAACGGCUUACCAAGGCGACGAUGCGUAGCCGACCUGAGAGGGUGAUCGGCCACACUGGAACUGAGACACGGUCCAGACUCCUACGGGAGGCAGCAGUAGGGAAUCUUCCGCAAUGGGCGAAAGCCUGACGGAGCAACGCCGCGUGAGUGAUGAAGGUCUUCGGAUCGUAAAACUCUGUUGUUAGGGAAGAACAAAUGUGUAAGUAACUAUGCACGUCUUGACAGUACCUAAUCAGAAAGCCACGGCUAACUACGUG
Molecule: ribosomal RNA, 497 nt
Filed under: uncultured bacterium
Lineage: Bacteria
Description: partial 16S ribosomal RNA
Rfam family: Bacterial small subunit ribosomal RNA
Source: RNAcentral